Molecule: ribosomal RNA, 554 nt
Filed under: Aureobasidium sp.
Lineage: Eukaryota; Fungi; Ascomycota; Dothideomycetes; Dothideales; Saccotheciaceae
Description: eukaryotic LSU rRNA
Rfam family: 5.8S ribosomal RNA (bases 198-351)
Source: RNAcentral
UGCGGAAGGAUCAUUAAAGAGUAAGGGUGCUCAGCGCCCGACCUCCCAACCCUUUGUUGUUAAAACUACCUUGUUGCUUUGGCGGGACCGCUCGGUCUCGAGCCGCUGGGGAUUCGUCCCAGGCGAGCGCCCGCCAGAGUUAAACCAAACUCUUGUUAUUAAACCGGUCGUCUGAGUUAAAAUUUUGAAUAAAUCAAAACUUUCAACAACGGAUCUCUUGGUUCUCGCAUCGAUGAAGAACGCAGCGAAAUGCGAUAAGUAAUGUGAAUUGCAGAAUUCAGUGAAUCAUCGAAUCUUUGAACGCACAUUGCGCCCCUUGGUAUUCCGAGGGGCAUGCCUGUUCGAGCGUCAUUACACCACUCAAGCUAUGCUUGGUAUUGGGUGCCGUCCUUAGUUGGGCGCGCCUUAAAGACCUCGGCGAGGCCUCACCGGCUUUAGGCGUAGUAGAAUUUAUUCGAACGUCUGUCAAAGGAGAGGACUUCUGCCGACUGAAACCUUUUAUUUUUCUAGGUUGACCUCGGAUCAGGUAGGGAUACCCGCUGAACUUAAGCAUA